This is a long non-coding RNA of Helianthus annuus (common sunflower), 1319 nucleotides long. RefSeq lists it as uncharacterized. The record is from RefSeq and is a predicted model, not a curated record. NCBI's taxonomy places the organism in Eukaryota, Viridiplantae, Streptophyta, Magnoliopsida, Asterales, Asteraceae. The transcript has 6 exons.
UGUUGUUGUUCCCUUGAGAUUUCCUCAAUUUUCUCAAUCCCUCCCAACCCCUCUUCAAAUUUCUCACACACACACACCAAGCCCUAGCUCUGUAUCUAUCUGCCCUACACCUGUAUCUAUCACUCAUACAUACACAUCGGACCUAUACAGGCCAUUCAACCUUUUGGUAUCUUCUUUCUCUCUCUCUUCCAUAUGCUUUUUUCUAUUUUCUCUCUCUAGAAUAACACAACAAGCACUCUGUUCUUUGGUUUCGAGUUAUGGCGUCUGCAGAUACUGAGCUGGAGCGACAACUUAAGGAGAUAGGGAAACAGUUAUCGCAUCCGCAUGAUUCGGUUGAGGAACUCCUUCAUGUUCUUGAUACCAAUGAUGAAUAAGAGACCUUUUUGAAUGCGUGAGGUAUUUAUGUGUGUUUUUAAUUAUAAAAACAUACUUGGAACAAUCGCUAUUGGGACUGAUCUUGUAUGGAAUAUUGACACCACAUUUGGAUGGGAGGCUGGCAGGCGGCAGCAUUUGCUGAGUUGAUCCCGGGGUUGGACUGGUAGGCACUCUUAAGACCGCCACAGGCGAGCUUCCUGUCAGCGCUGUUGCUAGCAGCACUGUUAAGUCUUUUAACACCAGCACACCGGUUUGUAGAAAGUGGAGAAGCUUCUAUUGAAGGUUGACCAGUCGCGAAAUGAUCGAUGCUAGCUGCACUGAGGCCAUCAAUGAAUGUGUUGAUCAAAGAUAGUCUAUCAAAACAUUCAGAUAUCGACGUGAAAGUAGCGGUCGCUUCCUGCAUCAGUGAAAGAACAAGAAUUACAGCUCCUGAUGCACCCUACACUGAUGACCAAAUGAGGGAUGUCUUUGAGUUAAUUGUAUCUUCUUUUGAGGAUUUAUCCGACCGCUCCAGCCGCUCUUACAACAAGCGGGCCUCGAUUCUUGAAACUGUUUCUAAACUCAAACAGCUGACCUAGGGUUUUAGAAUCAACAAUGGCAACAGAAGGACUAAGAUUCAGGCGCUGGCGAACCUCUUAUCGACGCCGACAAUGGCGAGGAGCUUAUGCACGUCCAACCGGCCGUCGCUAUUGUUCUCGCCAGCCACCCUCCAGGGUCUCCCGGAACUCUCUAUAUCUCCACCAAAUGAAGUUGAUCCGGAAUGGGAUUCAUCACAAACCACAAUUGGUCAUGUGGAUGGAAAUAGUGACCUAGCUCACAGUGUGCUUGAGGUAUUCUUUUAUUUUAUUAUUCUCAAUCUGCACACAUUAUUUAACAUGAUGCUGAGAUCAAGCAAUUAAUCUUUUAUGUUAGUAUUUCAUUAUACUUAAUCAACAAUCUGAAUU